This 374-nucleotide ribosomal RNA is filed under the name uncultured organism. RNAcentral's name for it is "partial 16S ribosomal RNA". It matches the Rfam family "Bacterial small subunit ribosomal RNA", at positions 527 to 896 of the family's 1533-position model. The record is from RNAcentral.
GUAGGUGGCAAGCGUUGUCCGGAAUUAUUGGGCGUAAAGCGCGCGCAGGUGGUUCUUUAAGUCUGAUGUGAAAGCCCCCGGCUCAACCGGGGAGGGUCAUUGGAAACUGGGGAACUUGAGUGCAGGAGAGGAAAGUGGAAUUCCACGUGUAGCGGUGAAAUGCGUAGAUAUGUGGAGGAACACCAGUGGCGAAGACGACUUUCUGGCCUGUAACUGACACUGAGGCGCGAAAGCGUGGGGAGCAAACAGGGAUUAGAUACCCUGGUAGUCCACGCCGUAAACGAUGAGUGCUAAGUGUUGGGGGGGUUUCCCGCCCCUCAGUGCUGCAGCUAACGCAUUAAGCACUCCGCCUGGGGAGUACGGUCGCAAGACUG